AACGCGAAGAACCUUACCUGGGUUUGACAUCCUCUGACAGCGGUAGAGAUAUCGUUUUUGUAGCAAUACAACAGAGAGACAGGUGCUGCAUGGCUGUCGUCAGCUCGUGUGGUGACAUGUUGGGUUAAGUCCCGCAACGAGCGCAACCCUUGUCCUUAGUUGCCAGCAUUGAGUUGGGCACUUUAAGGAGACUGCCGUGGUGAACACGGAGGAAGGUGGGGAUGACGUCAAGUCCUCAUGGCCUUUAUAUCCAGGGCGACACACGUGAUACAAUGGACGGUACAGAGGGAAGCGAAGGAGCGAUCUGGAGCCCAUCUCAAAAAGCCGUUCUCAGUUCGGAUUGGAGUCUGCAACUCGACUCCAUGAAGUUGGAAUCGCUAGUAAUCGCGGAUCAGCACGCCGCGGUGAAUCCGUUCCCGGGCCUUGUACACACCGACGCGUA
This 442-nucleotide ribosomal RNA is filed under the name uncultured bacterium. RNAcentral describes it as "bacterial SSU rRNA". It matches the Rfam family "Bacterial small subunit ribosomal RNA", at positions 958 to 1399 of the family's 1533-position model. The record is from RNAcentral.